AGUUUUGGUUGAAGUUUGAGCGAAAUCAUUGUUGGACAUGGAGGUUGAGCCACGCGAGGAAGACGAUGAGAAUUCUGGAAAUUUUUCCAGUUUGAUCCGCUACAGUGCAAGGCAAUUUUCAAAUCGUGUUUGCCGCGCGGAAACCAGCCAAUCGCGUGCCUCCACCGCAUUAGUUAAACGACCGUGUUUUGGUCUGGGAAGGGAUAAUUACCACUUUGCCAUUGAAUCCAUUUAAU
RNAcentral lists this long non-coding RNA (236 nucleotides) under Lathyrus oleraceus (garden pea). Its description in RNAcentral is "Pisum sativum (pea) long non-coding RNA (PSAT_LNC014833)". Lineage: Eukaryota; Viridiplantae; Streptophyta; Magnoliopsida; Fabales; Fabaceae. The record is from RNAcentral.